CCAAGGCAAGAACAAAAGGGAAAAAAGCAUAGAACAAACCCUAGAGAAGAAUCAAGUGAAAAUUCAUUGGAUUUCAAAGAAUUAAGCAAGUAAAGGUAAAAUUUCUUAAUUCUAGCUUGUGAUCUACCUUUCCUAUGCAUUCUUUUUCAAUUACCAUGGUUAAAAUUCAAGAUCUCAUGAAGGAUUCAUGGCUGACCGAAUUUAG
This 205-nucleotide long non-coding RNA is filed under the name Theobroma cacao (cacao). Its description in RNAcentral is "long non-coding RNA (TCAC_LNC000993)". The record is from RNAcentral. Lineage: Eukaryota; Viridiplantae; Streptophyta; Magnoliopsida; Malvales; Malvaceae.